AAUCAACGCUGGCGGCGUGCCUAACACAUGCAAGUCGCACGAGAAAGGGACUUCGGUUCUGAGUAAAGUGGCGCACGGGUGAGUAACACGUGAAUCAUCUACCUUCGAGUGGGGAAGUAACUGAGAGAAAUACUUAGCUAAUACCGCAUAAUACCUACGGGUCGAAAGCAGCAAUGCGCUUGAAGAGGAGUUCGCGGCAGAUUAGUUAGUUGGCGGGGUAA
Molecule: ribosomal RNA, 221 nt
Filed under: uncultured bacterium
Lineage: Bacteria
Description: partial 16S ribosomal RNA
Rfam family: Bacterial small subunit ribosomal RNA
Source: RNAcentral